CUAUUUUCUGCUAAACCUCGACAAUCACCCUAUGUGUUCCAUUUUCCUUUCGUCCCUUCCAGAAUCCAUGAACAGACGGGUUUCGACUCGCUGAGCUUAAUUCGAAAUUUUUAACUUGAGUUAGCUUUUUCGUUUCCUUGAAAGCGAAAGGCAAUGUCAUCGGUGACGCUUCGAGUUUCAUUUUCUCUUCAUUUCCUCAGUUCUCUCAGCGCCCGAACAGAGGAGUGUGGCAAUUUCGCGGACUCUCAAGCCUGAAAUCAAGCUGAGAUGGUAAUGCCGUGCCACUUCACUAGUAUCAAAAAGCCAGCCUUUUCCAGCUGUCAUACACUAAGCUUCAGGCAGGGAAGAUUAUGGCAGAGAAAAGGAAAAGGCACGAGCAAGAGAAAGAAGGAAAAGUAAAGUAAAGGCCAAAGAAAACAGUGAUGAUGGUGUUGUCGAAAAAGUGUCGAGUGAAGAAAUGAAGAAGGUAAAAAGGUAUAUAAAAUGGAAAAAUAUAGUUGCAAACAGUAUUAAUUUGUACAUUAAUUUAAUGUAAUUGGUUAAAAAGUAAAUUUUUUUAAAAACAGUAUUAAUUUAAAUUUUAAGUAUGAAUGAAUCAGUAUUAAUAUGCAGAUUAGUACGCGAUUUUGCUUGUAUGUAAUAAAAUUCAUAUAAAAUUCGUGUAUAUAGUAUUUACC
Carya illinoinensis is the source of this 677-nucleotide long non-coding RNA. RefSeq lists it as uncharacterized. The record is from RefSeq and is a predicted model, not a curated record. NCBI's taxonomy places the organism in Eukaryota, Viridiplantae, Streptophyta, Magnoliopsida, Fagales, Juglandaceae. The transcript is spliced from 4 exons.